CCUCUUAUCCAGGGUUCUGAGAACUGCUCCUAUUCAGAUAAUAUUGAAAAACCUUUUUUUGGUACUCGAGGAAGACUUUUUUUCUUCUGUCUUAUUUACUCAUUAAAUAUUUACUGAGGCUAACUUUGUACCAAGCUCUGUACUAGGGACACAUACAAAUAAAAGAUAACAUUGUACCGUUGUUUUGGCAAAACAAAGGUACUACGGCGUUUAGUCUGGUGGAGAUGAAAAAUUGACAAAAUAUUUGUUAGUGAUAAGUACUAAGAAGAAAAAUAAAGCUGCGUAAAACACUAGAGGGGCGGUAUUUCGAUAAAGGUCAUUAACAACAUGUAAAAUUCAUGAACCUUAUCUAAGCUAUUGUUAAUUGUGAUUUAUGAUACUCCUCUAACCAUGUAAAUCUUGACACAAAGAUUUGCGUUUUAUGUGGGUAAUAAAACUGACAGCUCACACACAGUUGUUUCUUUACCCUGAAAAUGGCAGGAAAAUACUGUAGAGAAAUCUGUCACUUGAGAUUGUGAACAGAUCACGAAUAAUCUUUAGGCUGGUAUUGUUUCCACAGAUGUUAAGUGUUUUUAGGAAGGCGAGUUACCUAGUCACAUACCGGGAAGAUAUGCUUAGUGUGGAGUCGGAGAGGUUUCGUUGACUGAGAAAACAGGAAUCUAUUGCAAUUGUUUAAGCAAAAAGUGACCAAAGUUGGAAUUAAGGUAGUGGAGGGACAGAGAGGGGGUUUAUGACAGAGGUAAAAGAGUAAGGAGGAAUUUGCAGGUUUUAAUGACUGAUUGAAUGUAGCUGAUAAGGAUGAGGGAGGCACUCAACAUAAUCCCUCUGUACUGAAUGGAGUGAGAUCAGCUGAAUAAUUGCACCAUUAAUUUCGAGCCCCAUGGACUGUAGCCUUCUGGGCUCUUCUGUCCUUGGAAUUUUCCAGGCAAGAAUAUUGGAGCGGGUUGCUGUUCAUCUGUUGAUGGAGGCGUCCAUACUUUGGCAAUUGUAGAACAUGUUUCCUUGCCAAUCUUGCUAAGGAAGACAAAAAAAGAAGACAGAACAUGAACUUCAGCCACAUGAUGUGAAGAAUGGACUCCUUGGAAGAGAUCCUG
Cervus elaphus (red deer) is the source of this 1094-nucleotide long non-coding RNA. RefSeq lists it as uncharacterized. NCBI's taxonomy places the organism in Eukaryota, Metazoa, Chordata, Mammalia, Artiodactyla, Cervidae. The record is from RefSeq and is a predicted model, not a curated record. The transcript has 4 exons.